RNAcentral lists this long non-coding RNA (368 nucleotides) under Ictidomys tridecemlineatus (thirteen-lined ground squirrel). Its description in RNAcentral is "lncRNA (ENSSTOG00000034813.1)". Lineage: Eukaryota; Metazoa; Chordata; Mammalia; Rodentia; Sciuridae. The record is from RNAcentral.
CUUUGCAAUAUGAAUUUCUUAUACUCACCAUAAUUCAGAAUCUGCUACCUUUGUUCCAAACCCCAGGUCAAUUUUGCCAUAUGUAAACUGCUGUUCUAUCAGAGUGGUACAUUUGAUAGUAGUCAGAAUUUUUGCAAUGUGCAUUUUCAAAGUAUCAUCUCCACACAGAGUUAACAAAACUUCAAUGGCCUUAACCAUCCUUUCACAUUUUUUUCUUAGUAAGGCCUCAUCUAGAUUUUGUUCUGUGAACUGAAGCUGAUCAAGGAUUGUAGGCAACAGAAGGGUCACAAAACGAUCAGCUGAGGAACAGUUAGCAGUAUCUAUGGCAUCCUAGAAAAUUAAUAGCCAACAAUGAUUAAAAAUGAAGA